GAAAAUGCUGUGAGGUGGGUGGUGAGGAGGGUAAACUGGGAAGAAGAGUUAAGUGCCUGAGGAGAAGCUGAGCAGAGGUGGAACAAGAUAGUGUCUCGUUCUGUUGCCUGGGCUGGAGUGCAGUGGCGUCAUCAUAGCUCACAGCAAUCUCAAACUCCUGGGCUCAAGUGAUUUUUCUUCCUCAGCCUCCUGACUAGCUGAAACUCUCCUGGCCUCAAGUGAUCCUCCUGCCUUGGCCUCCCAAAGUGCUGGGAUUGUAGGCAUGAGCCAUCAUGCCUGGGUUAUUAAAUAACUUUUCCACUCCCCACUAAAUGACUCACAGGGGGAGAACUGGAACUCAGAGACGAUUUAAGACAGUGCACGCCAAGCCUGCCUUCACCUCUGGCCGGUCUAAACCUGAGAGAAACUCACCGCUGUCUCCCAUGAGCCUCCAUUUACUGAAUGGGUCAGAAACUAGGGGCAGAAAGGACUGGUGUCCGAGGUGACAGCACAGAGAGAACAGAAGUCACGUGAGUGAGAGUGUGAUGCAAAUACUGUUAUCAUACGCUUCCCUGUAGGUGACAACGGAAAAGACCAGACUCCUUAGGAAUGUCCUGGGAUAAACAAUCAAAGCAGUACUGAUAUCUGAUUUUGUAUUGUAUUAAAAAAGAUGGGAGCCUUUCAUCUUUUUUAUUAACCUGGAUUGAGUUGGAAUACAUUCUUCUUAGUAAAGUAUCACAAGAAUGGAGAAGCAAGAAUCCAAUGCACUCAAUUCUAAUAUGAAGCCAGUAGACGAUCUAAUACAUACCCUCAUAAGAGAAAAACUCAAAUCAAUUCAAGGUGCAGGCAGGGGAACAAGGGAGCAGGGAGAGGGGAGAAUGGAGGGUUACAGGUGUCGGGCACACCUCUUGGGGGCAGGGCACAAUUAACUAUAAGAGGGACUUUACCUAACAAAUGCAAUCAGUGUAACCUAAUUCUUUGUACCCUCAAUGAAUCCCAAACAAUAAAAAAGAAGAUAGAUAUUGUAUAGGUGAUUUAUACAACAUACAGAUUUGAAUUUCCUCUAACAAAAUCCCAUUCCUGCACACAGAACAGCUCUUGAACACCAAAAAGGCCACACUAUCUAUCUACCCAGAUCACUUUCCAGAUCAGCUAAACUUCUAGGCUAAGUUCAAGUUUCAGACUGUGGAGUGGUGGUUGUAAAGUGCCUAAAACAAGGGGCUAUUUGUGGUGCUGUAAAGGAAGGCUGGGACCAAUAUGCACACUUGGUCCUAAGAGACGAUGACACUGUUGGAAAUGUUAGCAUAUUUCAGUGCUUUCUGAUGAUGGAGUGCUUUCUGGAAACGAUUUAAUACAACAUAUGUAUGUAUGUAUACGUUCCCCCCUCCACCUGGAAGUGUGCACCAUUCUGCGUGAACAUGUGUGUGAGGAGAAAGGGAAAGUUCAAAUACUUUUCAGCUCCGUUGUGCAGCAAUGGCUUCUCACAAGCGCAGGACUGGCAGUGGUGUGGACCUUUAACUCUCCUCCUCCUCCAACAUCAACAUAAAGUGAAAGCAAACAGGCGCUUGGAAAAUCACUCCUGUUCUUCCUGAUCACGCGCAGGAGAAAGCGGCAGAAGAUUCCUGCGUUAAGAGUUGCUGUGCUCACAGCUUUCCGCUGCAGAGCUGCCAGGAAGACGUUUCUGUUUUAUCCUUUCAGAGUAAAAACUUUGUUUUGACAGCUGGUUUUUCUGCUUAUGCUUGCUCUAAAAGGCAGAGAUGUGGAAAAGCUCUCUGAUCCAUCCUAAUUUACAUUUCUAUGAGAAAGACAACUUAGUCUUUAACUGAAAUCAGCCAUUUCCGUUUACCCCGUGUCUAUUCAUUCAUCCAAGGCAGUAACCAGCCUUCUUCAUGCCUUCAGAUUUAAAGACAGCAUCAAAAUUGUUCUCUUUGGGGGGAUUUUAUUUUGAAAAGUUAUGAGCUGCCCUCAGAGGGGGGAUUCGAUAAGGGAUCUACAUUCAGCACCCCUAUUUGUGAUUUCUUGAAAAGGAAACCAAGGCUAGGGAGAAAGACUGUAACAGUGGUUGAUGCCAACUGCUGACUUCAGUGUUUGUCCCCUUUCUUUCACACACCUGAUCCUCAAGGCCUUUGCCCGCUUAUUCCCACUGGAGUUGAUUGUUGGGUGGAUAAUGAUGUUUUGCAUGGAAGGUUUCAAAGACUAGAACUUAUGAAGAAAAAGAUUUGAUAAAUAAGAGUGUGAGCCCCUGGAGAACAGAGACUUGCCUUUUUGUUUUUUUCAUGGCUAUCUCUCUGGGCUCAGAACAAUGACUGUCACAUAAUGAAUGCUCAAUAAAUAUUUGUUGAAUAACUGGAAGGGAGAUUAUUUUGCCUUUACAGAACUAAGCUAUUCUCAAAUACUUUCAAAACUAUUUAGCACUAACUGUCACUUAUAAUUUAUUUUGAAGUUAAGAUAUUUAUUCAUUAAAUGCUAUUAGUAUGUUUAAUUACCUUUUUUGGGAAGAAGAAAGAAAAACAUUAAAAAAUGAAA
Nycticebus coucang (slow loris) is the source of this 2505-nucleotide long non-coding RNA. RefSeq lists it as uncharacterized. The transcript is spliced from 3 exons. Lineage: Eukaryota; Metazoa; Chordata; Mammalia; Primates; Lorisidae. The record is from RefSeq and is a predicted model, not a curated record.